GAUGAACGCUGGCGGCGUGCUUAACACAUGCAAGUCGAACGAUGAACCGGGUGCUUGCACUCGGGGAUUAGUGGCGAACGGGUGAGUAACACGUGAGCAACCUGCUCUUGACUCUGGGAUAACUGCGGGAAACUGUAGCUAAUACCGGAUACGACCCUCGGAGGCAUCUCCUGGGGGUGGAAAGAAUUUCGGUCAAGGAUGGACUCGCGGCCUAUCAGCUAGUUGGUGAGGUAAAGGCUCACCAAGGCGACGACGGGUAGCCGGCCUGAGAGGGUGACCGGCCACACUGGGACUGAGACACGGCCCAGACUCCUACGGGAGGCAGCAGUGGGGAAUAUUGCACAAUGGGCGCAAGCCUGAUGCAGCAACGCCGCGUGAGGGAUGACGGCCUUCGGGUUGUAAACCUCUUUUAGCAGGGAAGAAGCGAAAGUGACGGUACCUGCAGAAAAAGCACCGGCUAACUACGUGCCAGCAGCCGCAGUAA
Molecule: ribosomal RNA, 484 nt
Filed under: uncultured bacterium
Lineage: Bacteria
Description: partial 16S ribosomal RNA
Rfam family: Bacterial small subunit ribosomal RNA
Source: RNAcentral